CCCGCUCAUGAUGUUGCCAAUAACGCGGCCGCGAAUUGCCUCUGGCGCUAAAGCAGCGGCUAUCGGCACAAUCAUUUGAAUCGCGGACGCACAGGCGCCGAUACCGAAUGCGGCUAUUAGAAAUAGCAANNNNNNAGCGGCUGCGCUCAAGGCGACAACGCCCCCUACGAGGGUGAGCAAGACGACCCGCCGGUUCUCCG
RNAcentral lists this unclassified non-coding RNA (200 nucleotides) under Hevea brasiliensis (rubber tree). Lineage: Eukaryota; Viridiplantae; Streptophyta; Magnoliopsida; Malpighiales; Euphorbiaceae. The record is from RNAcentral.